CUCUGGUUGCAUUAUUUUAUGUCAACACUGGGUACAACAUCCCCUAGUUGUCUCAUCUUGUUGUCAGCAAAAGUACACCAUUCCCUGGAUGCAUUAUUUUCUGUCAACACAGGGUACACCAUCCCCUGGAUGCAUUAUUUUCUGUCAACACAGGGUACAAGGUCCCCUGGUUGUAUCAUCUUGUUGUCAACACAAGGUACACCAUCC
This 207-nucleotide long non-coding RNA is filed under the name Nicotiana benthamiana. RNAcentral describes it as "long non-coding RNA (NBEN_LNC020129)". Lineage: Eukaryota; Viridiplantae; Streptophyta; Magnoliopsida; Solanales; Solanaceae. The record is from RNAcentral.